Molecule: long non-coding RNA, 641 nt
Organism: Haemorhous mexicanus (house finch)
Lineage: Eukaryota; Metazoa; Chordata; Aves; Passeriformes; Fringillidae
Exons: 2
Source: RefSeq, a predicted model, not a curated record
AGCUCCUCUCUGUUGAGGGAGAAGAGCUGAGCUCCGGUGAGGAUGCCCAGGUGUUCCACGGUCCUGGGGAGACACAAAGUGGGAGAUGAUGAUCCUGCUGCACAUGGCCUUGUGCCAGAGGCAGAUUGUGCCCUGCAGCUGGUACCAGUCAGGUACCACCUGACUACAGACCUGUUCAAGCUCUUCCAGUGUCACCACAUCCAGGAUAUUGUAUGGAACAUAACCGGCCUGCCCACUCCGGUUGAGCAACUUCCACCAUUGCUUAUUAUCUUCCAACACCUGAGAGAGGGACAAAAAUAAAUCUGCUAGUGAGAACAUGGGAUUUCAGGCAUGUACAACCAGGAUACAGUGGGGAUGGACCACCCAGAAGGUGAAGUUGCCAGGAGGAUAUCACUGAGGCCAGGAGCUCUGAUUAGAUCUGCUGCUCUUAGAUGUAAUCCAGGAUGGAAAAUUUUCCUGGAAGGCAUCAGAAUUUAUCGUAAGGAUGAAGAGGAGAGCACCUCUGGAUGCUGAAGAACUCAUAGUUGCUAUAUAAUAAUUGCUAUAUAAUGUCCCUGUUUCUCUCUUCUUUUUUCCCCAAUGACUGAGUUUCUGUUGUCUUUUUGUGUUUAAAUAAAUAAAUAAAAAUUUUUAAAGCUAAA